Molecule: long non-coding RNA, 641 nt
Organism: Centropristis striata (black sea bass)
Lineage: Eukaryota; Metazoa; Chordata; Actinopteri; Perciformes; Serranidae
Exons: 3
Source: RefSeq, a predicted model, not a curated record
AGCUGGACACAAAAGUAUGCACGUCGUGCAUACACUGGAUGUAGCCUGCGGCGAACCGCUCACAGGCCUCCCGGUUCACGGCGUCCACUUCUACGGAGAGACGAGACAGAACGAACCGUUAGCUCAGAAGUUAGACAAACAUUGGACUCUCUGCUCUGAUUGGCUGACCAAGCGGUUGAAGACGCACACGUGCACCUGUGACCGCAUCACAGUUAAUUAGAAUAUUAAUGCACUAACAGUCAUAAAUUAAUUUGUGGGCCAGUUUUUAAGAACUAUAUUGUUCGGCGGAAGGGUGAAAUGUAGUCAAUGUGCUUAUUAAGGCUGUACUCAUUGGCCAAAAGUAGAAUAUUUAAUGAAUUGUUGCUUUGUGGCGUAUCUAUCACAUACAGUGUAUACAAUGAUUUACGUAGAUAUACCUUGAGCCCGGUUUUGCAGGAUGCUCUCCACCCGUUUCACUGUCAUUUCCAGCACUUCGGCAUUCUCCAUCUUUGAUUGUAACUGCAGCGGGUGACAAAAAAGCAUCUCAACUGGACGGUGUCUUCACUUCAUGUACUAGGACAUUGCCGACUCGCUACAUCCCUGUCGUCUCAUUGCCCUCUUCACCUCUACUGUGACCUCUGGGCCUGAGAGCCACUCUGCUG